This 1878-nucleotide long non-coding RNA is filed under the name Anas platyrhynchos platyrhynchos (common mallard). Its description in RNAcentral is "lncRNA (ENSAPLG00000024553.1)". Lineage: Eukaryota; Metazoa; Chordata; Aves; Anseriformes; Anatidae. The record is from RNAcentral.
GCCAAUGUAAAUUCAGUCUUUGGAAAGCUGGCUUUAGCUCAUUGCCAUUUUCUUUGUCCUUUCUCCUAAAUGAUUUCAACUUUUCUCUUUUAAAGUAUGCAUACAGAAAAUGAAUCAUUAUACUUAUUUUUCUUUUCAGCCUUUACUAGACAAACUUUGUGGUUUUGAUUCACACAUCUCAUCUUAAUAGCAGUGUAAGAUCUUUUAAAUUGAGCUGUUAAAUAAUAAACUUGUCCACAAAUAUACAACCAUUGCAAUAAACUCACAUCAGCCAUUCAGACACAAUGGUGAUAAGAGCUGAGAUGACUAGAAAGACACUGUUAAGGCCACUUAAAGGGCAAUAACAAAUAAAUGCUAUCAGCUGUGUUUUCUCUCAAAAAAAAAAAUCAAACAAACAAAACCACCCUUUCUUCAGAAUCUUCAGCUCUUUGCCUUAUUUUAACAUGCAAAAGCACUGGGACAUUUUUGCAGCCUCUUGACCCCAAGCGAAGGGUCUCCAUCAAACUCAGUUGUUCGUGCAUAUGAAGAUUUUCUUCAUAGCUGUGUUGUGUAAAUGAGAAUUGUUGCCCCUUUGGAGUACAUAGAACAAGUGUCUGCCAACGUCCACACACAGCAGGGCUCAGGUAUGAGAAGGGGUCACCAUGUGUGAGGAUGGGCAGCCCUGAGGCGGUCUGUCUCAGCACACUGGAACUGCCCAUCCCAGAAACCUGGAAGGCUGAGGCAAACUAUCCCAGGCUGCUGGGCACAGGCAGACACUGCAGCAUUUCCCUCUGCUUAAAACAUACCUGAGGGAGAAGAGUGUACUUGGACCUCGUUGUGCUCAGAGCCAGAGACCACUUGUGCUUCCCGUUGAGAGCCACUGGGCACAACAUGAGGUUGGACUGGGAUCAGGUCCCAAAGCCUCUUUUGCUCAUUCUCCUGCAUGUCUUGCAUUUCCUGGUGUAUGGUGACUCUGCCCCAGCAGGAGGGUCAGAGAGCACUGCCUUGCUCAGACUGUCCUGGAGGCCAUUGUUGAAGGUACUAGCCUGGGAAGUACAGAUGCUUCUUGAAGAAAUAAAUGCCUGGCUGUUUCCUGAACGGCUCCAAGCUCCCCUGAUAUGUGCUCAGAAAUGAGGCCGAUCUUCCAAGGAGGAAAGACAGCUGGGAUCAAGGCAUCUCCACUUACGUACCCUGGAAACUUUCAGACCAAAAUCUGUACCUGGAUUUGGUUUGGGCAUUUGGGUGCCCUCAAUUCACACCAGGGAAUAAGCACUGGGAAUCCUCCCUCUGCAGCCUGGAGGAGGCAGUUUCACAUUAAAUCUGAUGGACUGGAGCCUUAUUAACCCAGCUUUUUUUUUGUUGUUGUUGUUAUGAGGAAGUUUAUCAGAGUUUCUCUGACAUACCUGCAAGUUUGCCAUAGUGAUUAUACAGUUUGCUAUGGAUUUAUACCUUCUGGGUCCUUCUGGGUCUCACCACAGAGGUUCAAGCUCAAGGAAGAUGAAAGCCCAGGAAACAGUGUUUAGGCCUUAAAAGAUUCACUUCUGAACCCCAAUUCAUCUACCAUGCCAUUGCACCACAGAUCUACCUGUCUUUCUAAUCCUGGGCCUGUUACCUUCUCUCCAAACUAAAUCCUUUCUUCCAAACACCUCCUUGCUGCCAACUCCACCAUCCCUGCAAGGAGACAAAGGGCACAAGUUUUCAUCUAGGCCCAUGGGCUCCACUUGUAUGUUGUUUGUAUUCCUGUUUGCUCUGUUUUACCACUGCUUCUGCAGCCCAAUUCUGCAGUCUUUGGGACAGGGCCUGUCAUUUUGUGUUGUGGCUGCUAUGACUGGAUCCUGCUCCAAGGCAGAGAAUGCAAGGCUCUAAGGUAAUAAAAAUAAAUAAAUAAGACUUUGGGCA